RNAcentral lists this ribosomal RNA (449 nucleotides) under uncultured bacterium. RNAcentral describes it as "partial 16S ribosomal RNA". It matches the Rfam family "Bacterial small subunit ribosomal RNA", at positions 354 to 795 of the family's 1533-position model. The record is from RNAcentral.
GUGGGGAAUAUUCCGCAAUGGACGAAAGUCUGACGGAGCAACGCCGCGUGAGUGAUGAAGGUUUUCGGACUGUAAAGCUCUGUUGUUUAGGACGAAAGUGCCUGUUGCAAAUAGUUACAGGUAUUGACGGUACUGAACGAGGAAGCCACGGCUAACUACGUGCCAGCAGCCGCGGUAAUACGUAGGUGGCAAGCGUUGUCCGGAAUUAUUGGGCGUAAAGAGCAUGUAGGCGGGAAUCUAAGUCUGUUGUGAAAAUGCGGGGCUCAACCCCGUAUUGCGAUGGAAACUGGGUUUCUUGAGUGCAGGAGAGGAAAGGGGAAUUCCCAGUGUAGCGGUGAAAUGCGUAGAUAUUGGGAGGAACACCAGUGGCGAAGGCGCCUUUCUGGACUGUGCCUGACGCUGAGAUGCGAAAGCCAGGGUAGCGAACGGGAUUAGAUACCCCAGUAUCC